AUUUUGUUCUCAUUUUAUUUGGGCCAAAAGGAAACUAUGACCACAACAAUUGGGCCAUAAUGCAAAUACUAAAACUUUUGGGGUCACUUUGUAAAAACACAAUAGUCCACAACUUCAUGUAAUUACAACUAGAUCCCAAAAUUUUAUUAAUGUAAAAACAUCAUUAAAGGAUCAAAACAAUUUGACCUUUAGAGUUUUUAGGCCUAAACGUAAAAACGUAAACUUUUGGGCCAAAAUACAAAAACACAAAAGUAUCAAAACUUUAUGUAAUUGCACAAAAGGGCCCAAAAGUACCCUACUUGUUAGGGUGGCCGGCCAAAGGGAGUGAACAAGUGAAAAUUUUGAAAUUUUUGAAAAAGUUUUUGCAAGUUGAUUAAAACACUUUAGCAAGUGGAUUGGUUGGUGAAGAAAGUCUUUGCAAACUUUAAAGACUUGUAAGAAAAUGUAAGAAAAUGUUUUGUAAACAUUAAUGACAUUUUCCUUUCUUCACCCUUAAGUUAUAAUACAAAAUUAAUAAACCAAAACUUUAUGAAAAACAUAAAACCUUUAAAUCAAAACUUCAAAACUUUUUGUUCUUGGCAAGAACAUCAAGAACAUGAAGAACAAACAUGAAAAACUCAUAAGAGCUCCAUGAAUGUUUUCACUCAACAAAAAUCAAAUUUUCACUACACAAAAGAGGGCUAAUAUCCUAGGGUACUUAGGGGUUCCAAAAGUCACCUUAAAACCAUUUUAACAAGACAAACAUGAACCCAAAAGAUCACCCUUUGGAUUUGGCCGAAUUUCCCAAAACACAUGGCACCAAAUUUUAGUUCCAAUAUUCAUGCUUGAAUGAAAUACAUCUACAACAUUUGAGAUGCUAAAUUUUCUAGCAAAAUUUAUAUAUUCAAAAGCAAGAACAAAGUUUGUAACAUUUACAACAUUUAAAUCACAAAAUAUGAACAUCACAAA
RNAcentral lists this long non-coding RNA (948 nucleotides) under Malus domestica (apple). Its description in RNAcentral is "long non-coding RNA (MDOM_LNC013977)". The record is from RNAcentral. Lineage: Eukaryota; Viridiplantae; Streptophyta; Magnoliopsida; Rosales; Rosaceae.